AACCCGGGCGUCCCUUGGAUCUUUGUGGGUUUAGCUACUCCUGGCGCGCAGGACUGACCUGGGCACCGGGCCCCGAGCCCGUGACACAGUGGGGAGUGUCCCUUCUUCUGCCCGCCUGCGAGGGGCUGAGGAGGCCUGGAGCUGGGCGCAGAGUUGCGGGGCCGGUCGUUUCCCUGUGAGGCUCUCCCCAGAAUCCCUGCUGCCUCCGGGCAGUGGAGGAGCGGGCACCGAGGUCACAGGUGUGGCUGGGGCCGUUUUUCCUGGUGCUCUGCGUGAGAGCUGGGUUCCAGAGCCUGGUCCCUAGGAGGAGAGUGGCGGAGCGGAGCCCGUGGGCGGAGGCCGGGCGCGUGAGGGGUCUGGGAGUGGGAGCGGGAGAAGAGCAUCGCCCCCGCAGCCAUGCUGCGCGCCGCUGGGAAGUGGACCCGGGUUUGAUAGCCCUGCUCUGGGCGCUGCGGGUUGGCUGGGCGUCGCUGCCGGAGUAGGAAUGCCUGGUGUCACCCAGCUUGCUCCCCGCUCCCUGAACCCCGGGAGGACCGCAGGGACCCGGCCGGAGGACAGAGAUUUGGACCUAGUGAAAGGACAUCGUCCCUUAGCACCAGCUAUGGACUCCACAGCAUCAGUUCUCCCUUCUCAGGACCCUGCUCUUCCUCCAGAGAGAUGCCCAGGAGAAAAGGGAACAGCCAGCUUAUUCCUGAAAGCCAGGCCCCAGGACCUGAUGACAUUUGAGGAUGUGGCUGUGGAAUUCACCCGGUGGGAGUGGGGGCAGCUGGACCCUACUCAGAAGGACGUGUACCGGGAAGUGAUGCUAGAGAAUUUCAAGAACCUGGCCUCCCUGGGGUUUCCAAUGUCCAAACCGUAUGUGAUCUGCCAGUUGGAGGAAGGGGAAGAGCCCUGUAUUUUGGAGAGAGAAAUCUCAACAGGUGCCCCCGCAGAUUAUCAGCUGCUCCAGGUCAUUUCUCAUACUUCCUCUCAGAAGUGAACACCCAGUAAGUCCUCACUAACCACGUAUUAAUUUGAAAAACAACUUGUAUUGCCCAAGUUUUCUCAGUGCUCUGACUGCACAGUUUCUACUAGAUGAAAAUCUUUCCUUCUAGAACACUACCAAUCAAAUAUUUUCUUAGAAAAAUACUACAUUGUUCCUGUAAGUAUUUUUCAAUUUCAAAUAUAGAUUAGCAUUGUGCCAUCUUUUGGGGUUGUUGUAUGCGUAUAUGAAAAUUCACUGCUAUUUUAUUUUGUAGCACUACAAUGACUUCUCAUUCCAGCUACCCAGAGGUGGGCCAAACUUCACAGGUUAAGGAAACAGUCACCCACAAGACUGCUCUCACUUCAGACACCAGCCAUGAAUUGGGGGUCCCUAGGUCACCCUUCUGACCAUCUGGCUACAAAUUUGGGAGUUCCCACUACUCUUUCAGACUUGACCACUGGCAAGAACUUAGACAUAGGACUAUGGCUGACGGCAAGGGAGGCUGGAAAUGGAAGUCUUUGUCCUGGGCAGCAAUGGGGCCAAUGAAAAUUGGGGGAUUCUAUUACGAAGGAAGAAGAGGAGGAUGGAUAUUGACAAAUGACCAGGAAUCUGUGCCUGAAGACCCCAAUACUUCAAAGCCAUUUGGGAAUGAGAUCAUAUCCAUGAUCCUCUCUGGGUCUCAGUCUUCUCCUCUGUAAGAUGAAGGGCUUUGCACUUGUGGAAAUAAAUGAGAAGAAACAGGCUGUUUAUUCAGAGCUUGCCAUAGCAAAGGAUCAGCCACUAUCACCUGCACCUGGCAGAGACCCAAAGGCAUGAAGGGAUUAAGAAAGCUUUACGAUGAGAAGAAAAAAAGUGAAAGCUUCAGGUAUGCCCUGACUGGAAGUUGUCAGCAUGGGAAAACUGGAGGGGGGCUAAGUCGGAGCAGGAUAUCUUAUGUGAUUGGUUUGGGCAGUAUAUUUGGUUUUCUAUGGUUGGUUCUAAGUUGGAAGUGAGGGCAAAGAAUAGGGGGGAAGUAGCAGUCAUUUGGCUGUUCUGAGCUGAUUGCUGCAGAGGCUGUGGUCUGGCUUCCAGGCUGGUUGCUGCAAAGGUGUGGGGCAGAGUUCUAUUGUCAUAUAAGGUGUAUCCAUUGUCCACUGGUGUAUUUAGUCCCUCAGUUCUCCCUUUUGGCCACUUUCUUGCUUGAGAGAGGCUGACCAAUUCAGAGAUGCUAGAGAGCCAGAUCUUUACGGAGGACUGUUUGGUUGUCUCCAUAGUAAACUUAUCAUGAGAUCUUUUUGAUCUUUUUGUUGUUGUAUCAUCAUGGCAAUCAGAUCUGAUGAGAGAGAAGCUGUGCAGAAGCAUUGAGCCAAGUAGGGUUUUCUUUAAGGUGAUGUACUGCCUGUUCUACCAUGCCUGUUUCAUUGAGCCAACUAUAGCAAUGGCAUAGAUGCCCCCAUGAUCAGUCAGUAAGAAGUUUAGUGCAAAGCAAUCGCCCAUAACUACUUGAGCCAAUGAGCUGAGACAAAUCUACAGAUCUUCAAUCUAGGGAAGAGGUGAUGUCAUAACUUGUGGCAGUUAGUGAGUGAUAGGUCUCUUACAGUCUUUUUGUCUCCCACCAUUGGAAAUACUGCUCUGAUUGUUCACAUAAACAAUGAGUCAGCAAUUCCCCAAGGCAAAGUGCAUGAAUAAUUAAGGGUGGCUGCAUUUUGGAGCUCUUGCCUGGGUUGGAAUUUCCAGCACUGGUGAUGUAUAAAGUUAGGAUUUCUAUAUACAGACAGUUUGGGAAUGCUAUUCCUAAAGUGCAUGAAUUUUUAGUCUGAGGAAAACGAGACCUGUUGACCUGGUUACAAAGGAAGUACAAUCCAGUAAGGGCACGUAGAGAUCCAGGAAAAAAGUUGUUCGUGACAUGAGAUUGGAGCCAAAGCCUCACAUUAGCUCUGCUAUAUAUUUGGAUCCCUUUACUGUCUUCCAGCUGAUAAGUAACUGGCCUACUACCCUAAUGAAGGUUGUUGAAUUCGAAUUCAGAAUUACCUGGAUUCUGAUCAACAGAUUGUGAUAACUGGCUCUUUCUCUGGGACACUAGCAAAGUCACAGGUUGCUUUGUUUAAGGUCAUUUGUCCCUGUAGGUGCUAAUGGAAAAACCACUGGCUUUAAUUCUCUAUAGUCUCAUUUGGUGAGACCAGAACCGUUCAUAUAUAUUUAUCAUGAUGGUCUGCCAAUGGAUGGCAUAUCCGGCAGUUGGUGAGAUUUAGAGUAGUGGCUGCUAUUUAGGAUAAUCUAAGAAUGGCAUUAGAAUGAGUACGCUCUGGGGACUUCCCUGGCGGUCCAGUGGUUAAGACUUUGCCUUCCAGCGCAGGGGGUGUGGGUUCAAUCCCUGGUUGGGAAGCUAAGA
Delphinapterus leucas (beluga whale) is the source of this 3335-nucleotide non-coding RNA. The record is from RefSeq and is a predicted model, not a curated record. NCBI's taxonomy places the organism in Eukaryota, Metazoa, Chordata, Mammalia, Artiodactyla, Monodontidae.